GCCAGAGUGGUGAAAUUGGUAGACACUAGGGUCUUAAACACCCUUGCUGAAUAGGCGUACGGGUUCGAGUCCCGUCUCUGGUA
Molecule: transfer RNA, 83 nt
Filed under: Hymenobacter montanus
Lineage: Bacteria; Pseudomonadati; Bacteroidota; Cytophagia; Cytophagales; Hymenobacteraceae
Rfam family: tRNA
About the family: Transfer RNA (tRNA) molecules are approximately 80 nucleotides in length. Their secondary structure includes four short double-helical elements and three loops (D, anti-codon, and T loops).
Source: Rfam by way of RNAcentral